AUUGAACGCUGGCGGCAGGCCUAACACAUGCAAGUCGAGCGAGUGGCGGACGGGUGAGUAAUGUCGGGGAAACUGCCUGAGGGAGGGGGAUAACUACGGGAAACGGGCGCUAAUACCGAAUCACAUCGGAUGCGCCCAGAUGGGAUUAGCUAGUAGGUGGGGUAACUGCUCACCUAGGCGAAGAUCCCUAGCUGGUCUGAGAGGAUGACCAGCCACACGGGAACUGAGACACGGUCCAGACUCCUACGUGAGGCAGCAGUGGGGAAUAUUGCACAAUGGGCGCAAGCCUGAUGCAGCCAUGCCGCGUGUAUGAAGAAGGCCUUCGGGUUGUAAAGUACUUUCAGCGGGGAGGCGUUACCCGCAGAAGAAGCACCGGCUAACUCCGUGCCAGCAGCCGCGGUAAUAC
This 406-nucleotide ribosomal RNA is filed under the name uncultured bacterium. RNAcentral's name for it is "partial 16S ribosomal RNA". It matches the Rfam family "Bacterial small subunit ribosomal RNA", at positions 29 to 526 of the family's 1533-position model. The record is from RNAcentral.